RNAcentral lists this ribosomal RNA (60 nucleotides) under Allium obtusiflorum. Its description in RNAcentral is "partial large subunit ribosomal RNA". The record is from RNAcentral. Lineage: Eukaryota; Viridiplantae; Streptophyta; Magnoliopsida; Asparagales; Amaryllidaceae.
AAUGACCCCAGAUCAGACGGGGCCACCCGCUGAGUUUAAGCAUAUCAUAGGGGAAAGAAA